AAGAGAUUUCCUUAUCAAAUGUAUGUACACUUGGUCACUAACCGUACUAAAUAAUCUGAACUACAAAGCACACAGGGAGAGCUAUAGUAAGGAUAUCAUGACCUGUUUAAAGUUUCUCUGUCUGUCUGCAGCCAGGUUGCAAAUUAAAAGCCAAUCACUCUGUUGUGGCUGAGCUGUGUGCACACCUUAUGAUAACCUCUUAAAGUCCAAUGACGGAAUAAUUCCAUUCAUAUACCUAUCCA
This is a non-coding RNA of Pelobates cultripes (western spadefoot toad), 242 nucleotides long. The record is from the annotation of a GenBank genome assembly. Lineage: Eukaryota; Metazoa; Chordata; Amphibia; Anura; Pelobatidae.